Molecule: long non-coding RNA, 210 nt
Organism: Sinocyclocheilus rhinocerous
Lineage: Eukaryota; Metazoa; Chordata; Actinopteri; Cypriniformes; Cyprinidae
Exons: 3
Source: RefSeq, a predicted model, not a curated record
GACCCAAACAUGGCGACGGAGAGCUGCGAAAAGUGCUGAAUUCUGUCUACAUUUCGACAAAAUCGCGAAGAUCACAAAGACGGUAAGAAGGAUAAAGCGGGCCGGAGCAUGUCUCUCACAGGUCCUGGACCAGUCAAAGUGAUGGAGUCGUUCUCAUGGGAGGAGUAUUUGAAAGAGACGUCGUCUGAUCCCGCUCCUCCCAGCUGCUUC